Long non-coding RNA from Oncorhynchus keta (chum salmon), 804 nucleotides. RefSeq lists it as uncharacterized. NCBI's taxonomy places the organism in Eukaryota, Metazoa, Chordata, Actinopteri, Salmoniformes, Salmonidae. The transcript has 3 exons. The record is from RefSeq and is a predicted model, not a curated record.
GUGAGCCUCAGAUUUUCACUUUAUCCCAUAUAGCAUUUUCUAUAUUAGCGGGUUAGGGUCAGGUGAGCCUCAGAUUUUCACUUUAUCCCAUAUAGCAUUUUCUAUAUUAGCGGGUUAGGGUCAGGUGAGCCUCAGAUUUUCACUUUAUCCCAUAUAGCAUUUUCUAUAUUAGCGGGUUAGGGUCAGGUGAGCCUCAGAUUUUCACUUUAUCCCAUAUAGCAUUUUCUAUAUUAGCGGGUUAGGGUCAGGUGAGCCUCAGAUUUUCACUUUAUCCCAUAUAGCAUUUUCUAUAUUAGCGGGUUAGGGUCAGGUGAGCCUCAGAUUUUCACUUUAUCCCAUAUAGCAUUUUCUAUAUUAGCGGGUUAGGGUCAGGUGAGCCUCAGAUUUUCACUUUAUCCCAUAUAGCAUUUUCUAUAUUAGCGGGUUAGGGUCAGGUGAGCCUCAGAUUUUCACUUUAUCCCAUAUAGCAUUUUCUAUAUUAGCGGGUCAGGGUUAGGGUCAGGUGAACCUCAGAUUGUCACUUUUUCCCAUAUAGUCGGGCAGAUGCGGAUGAGUUAUUAGCAAUUGCAGGCGACUGUGGGUGAACAAACAUCUGAGCCGCAAACACUAACGCGACCAUUGUAACAUCUUCAGACUCCUUACCAAUCUCAUAAAGAUGGUAGACUGCUGAUAGUUUACAGUUUGAAUUACCAAAGGUCAUAGUAGUGUCCAUCUUGCAGUAAACCAUGUACAACUUGAAGUAGCCUCUGCCGAGUCCUCAACCACCGGAUGUUCCCAUUUUCAGGGGAAAUUAAAGAGAGCCUG